AGGGCACCACCAGGAGUGGAGCCUGCGGCUUAAUUUGACUCAACACGGGAAAACUCACCCGGCCCGGACACCGUAAGGAUUGACAGACUGAGAGCUCUUUCUUAAUUCGGUGGGUGGUGGUGCAUGGCCGUUCUUAGUUGGUGGAGCGAUUUGUCUGGUUAAUUCCGAUAACGAACGAGACUCUGGCCUAUUAAAUAGACGGUAUAUCUAGAAAAAGUAUACCGCGCUUCUUAGAGGGACAACCGGCGUCUAGCCGCGUGAAAUAGAGCAAUAACAGGUCUGUGAUGCCCUUAGAUGUCCGGGGCUGCACGCGCGCUACACUGAAAGAAUCAGUAUGCGCCGUCGCCUAGUUCGGAAGAACCGGGUAACCCGAGUAAAUUCUUUCGUGCUUGGGAUAGGGAAUUGCAAUUAUUUCCCUUAAACGAGGAAUUCCCAGUAAAUGCGGGUCAUAAGCUCGCGUUGAUUACGUCCCUGCCCUUUGUACACACCGCCCGUCGCUACUACCGAUUGGAUGACUUA
Molecule: ribosomal RNA, 519 nt
Filed under: uncultured eukaryote
Lineage: Eukaryota
Description: SSU rRNA
Rfam family: Eukaryotic small subunit ribosomal RNA
Source: RNAcentral